Small nucleolar RNA from Nannospalax galili (Upper Galilee mountains blind mole rat), 127 nucleotides. NCBI's taxonomy places the organism in Eukaryota, Metazoa, Chordata, Mammalia, Rodentia, Spalacidae. The record is from Ensembl.
ACACUCCGGUUCCCUUUCCCAUGCAAUCUCAACACUGGUCUUGAUGGUUGUAAAGGAGGGAGCGUGCUGAAGCUGGCCUCACAGCUUUGUAGUCUGGUAUAAGCACGUGGGCCAGAUUCAAACAGGG